GGGGCGGCGCGCGCCUGUCGCGACUGUCGCCGAUGUCGCCCGCCCGUGCCCGGGGCUCCCCGCGGUUUCCUCGCCGCCCGGCAGGGAAACCACGAUGGGCUGCGGAUGGUGUUCGAGGUACCCCUGCUGAAAGCGUGGCGUGGCUCACCCAAAGAGGUCCUCCUGCAAGGAAUGGUGCUAAGGUUUUAUAUUCAGAUUGGUACCAGCAGCAACAACCUUGAAGAGUUGCACAGAAAAUCAAACAUGGAUACAUGGUUAGACUACAAUAUCACUUAAAAUAGGUAAGUUUACAUCUUAGACUGAAAUUUAAAUGUAUUUAUAUGUAUGAGUAUACAUCUUUGUGCAUGACCAGCACCUUUUGGACCUCAAGUACAUGAAGACUGGCCUGUUUUCCAGAGUUAUUUGCUCCAGUGUAUAAUUUUUCAUGGAAUAUUUCAUAGUUCGGUGGACAAUGGGAGUCAAGUUUUGGAGUGAGAAUGCAUAUGCAAUGCCAUCUGCUUUACCAUUAAUUUACUCCUGCAUUUGCUCAGAAUUUUGUUGAGCUGGUUUUCUGAGUAUUCCCACUGUUGACUAUGUUCAACACAGUAGAUGUAGAAAGCAAAUAAAAAGGGAAUGGGAAUGCUCUCAUGGAAACUGUCAGGCAGUGUCUGCUCAGCUCUUCUCAGCACUCAGGAUCUGAAAACUGCUGCUAAAUUUCUAGUGGAUUUCAUAUUGAUCAUUGCUACCAAAUAAAUCUGGAGUACAGCAUCCCAAAAAUACAUAAAUUUAAAUACUAGAUUUAGAGCCUGUGUUUUCUCUUUCCAAGUAACACAACUUGCAUGGAUGUAGGAAAAAAUGCAUUGUCUGUUUGGUAAAGGAGAAUAUAUGGAGAAAGACCACAGCCUGGCCAUGCCUGACGUGGCCCAGUGCUCUGGCUCCAAAGAGCUUUGAUAAUGACUUUAAAAAAGAGAGAUAUGUGCUUUGGUGAAGCUUUUUCAUCCCAAGCCAGCCAGCAGUAACCUUGUCCUAGAAAAUGUGAGGAUGUGCCUCUGUUGUAAAGAUCCACUCUUCCUUUUUGAUGCAUUUUUAAGUGAGGGAAGUGCUACUCAAAUGCCCUUGAAAAUCUUUUAAAGCAGCUCUUGGAACAUUUUUUUUUCCUUAUUCUUUCUUUCAUUUUGUAUCCAUCCAUAUGAUUCCAUCUGUUGGUCCAAAAGGCUCAAUAUGACAGUGACAACAGACCAAGUUUCUUUCAAAAUUUCUCCUUUAAUUUAAGCCAUUUUUUUCCUAGGAAAGUAUCAAACCAAAGAAAUCCAUAUUCCAAGCCCAUUUGAAAGGGUAAUAGAACUAAUAGGGAAAUGGUUUGUAUUUACUUUGAAAACAACCCCCUGAGUAUCACAUGCUGUCAAAGCCAAGUGAAACAUUGCAAGUGUCAAGUUUAUGUCUGUACCCAGCCGUGAUGCCUGAGCAGGUUUCAAGGUCUCAGCCUGCCAAAGACUGACACACACACUUAACUUUCUGCACUGGAAUCUUUCCCUGACUUUAAUGCAGGAUCAAGGCACACACGUCAGCUGUCUCUCGUGCAUCAGCCAGGUCUGCUUCUGUUGUAGUGAUUUUUAUUAAUUGGCUACUUGGGAAGCACAGUAAAACUCUAUCCAUAAAGAAUCUAGGAAAAAAUGAGAGAUGGGGGAACAAAGUAAUAGAAAGGACAGAUUCCAUCUUGAGGUGGAGACUGAAUCCAUUUGCCUUAGUCAGUGACAGGACAGUUCCACCAACACUUUCUCUGGACAAUGCUGACUUGCUUCUCACCAUGUGCCAGCAAAUUCCUGCUACACAUCACUUCUCUUCCUUUACCUGUCUCCUGUCUCCUGAUAGCCACGUUAUGUCUCAUAAAAACACACACAAACAAACCCAAAACACAUCAGCAAGCAAAAGCUCUUUCCGUGCAAUAGGUUUAUCCCAGGAUGUAUCGGUGUCGGCUCCAGAGCAGAAAUUUACAGCCAGUUAGAGGUGCUACCAGCAUGCCAGGACUAAAAAGGGACCAAAUGAGCCACGGUGUGAGGGAGAAGAUGUCAGCCCAGACACAGCACACCAUAUUCCUGGGAUAAAGAAACAAUGAGAAAGCAGCAGUGGGUAACAGAUGAGGUAUUAGGCCUAGCGGGGAGAAGACAAGAGCUUAAAUCAAAAAGACAUCCUGAUGAGACUGGAUGUAAGCUGAGCACACAGGCCUUCAACGAGGGAUAUGAGAGGUGGUUAGACAAAACACUGCAGGAAUUCAUCCACAGUGAGCAGCGCAGGAGUUGGAGCAACAGGAUGGAAGAGGUGGAUGCAAAGGGACUUUUCAGCGCUGUCAAGGAAAUUGGCCAAACUCCCUCCCAGAGGCAGUGUCAUCAGGGCAGCAUAUGGCAAAAGGGAAAGGAAAAAAACAACUAAAAAAGGUAUGUAAUGGAAAAAAGAGACAGGAAUAUUUUAAGAAUCUCAGCUUUUGCUAAGUUGCAGAAAGAGUCUGUGGACAACCUGGGAUUUCAAGCCUAAUCUUUGGAGUUGGUGCAGGCCAUUAGCUCAUCUCCCACUCUUGUGUAUUUGCAAUUUCUUCCAAUGGUGUAAUGUGGAAAGAUUUUUAUAUUUAAAAUAUUUAAUAUAUUUAUCCUAUUAACAUGAUGCAAAAUAGUCAAUAAUUUACAUAUAUUUACAUCUAAUGUUCAUUUAU
Motacilla alba alba is the source of this 2686-nucleotide long non-coding RNA. RefSeq lists it as uncharacterized. Lineage: Eukaryota; Metazoa; Chordata; Aves; Passeriformes; Motacillidae. The record is from RefSeq and is a predicted model, not a curated record. The transcript is spliced from 3 exons.